This 497-nucleotide small RNA is filed under the name Pan troglodytes (chimpanzee). Its description in RNAcentral is "processed transcript". Lineage: Eukaryota; Metazoa; Chordata; Mammalia; Primates; Hominidae. The record is from RNAcentral.
ACACCAGACAGGGUGUAGUGGCUCAAACAUGUUGGAGAAGCAUUUCUGUUCAUAGAACCAUGCCAAGCAGGGCGGCGGGCAGCAGGUCGGCUCCUGUGGUUUCAACAGCCGCAUCCUGCCCCACGUGUACCCCAUCCGGCUGGUGAAGGUCAAUGAGGACACAAUGGAGCUGCUGCGGGAUGCCCAGGGCCUCUGCAUCCCCUGCCAGGCCGGGGAGCCUGGCCUCCUUGUGGGUCAGAUCAACCAACAGGACCCGCUGCGCCGCUUCGAUGGCUAUGUCAGCGAGAGCGCCACCAGCAAGAAGAUUGCCCACAGCGUCUUCAGCAAGGGCGACAGCGCCUACCUCUCAGGCACCUUCAAGAUCCAGAAGACGAGGCUGCAGCGAGAGGGCUUUGACCCACGCCAGACCUCAGACCGGCUCUUCUUCCUGGACCUGAAGCAGGGCCACUACCUGCCCUUAAAUGAGGCAGUCUACACCCGCAUCUGCUCGGGCGCCU